This 407-nucleotide ribosomal RNA is filed under the name uncultured bacterium. RNAcentral describes it as "bacterial SSU rRNA". It matches the Rfam family "Bacterial small subunit ribosomal RNA", at positions 355 to 754 of the family's 1533-position model. The record is from RNAcentral.
UGAGGAAUAUUGGACAAUGGGCGAAAGCCUGAUCCAGCCAUGCCGCGUGUGUGAAGAAGGUCUUCGGAUUGUAAAGCACUUUAAGUUGGGAGGAAGGGCAGUUACCUAAUACGUAUCUGUUUUGACGUUACCGACAGAAUAAGCACCGGCUAACUCUGUGCCAGCAGCCGCGGUAAUACAGAGGGUGCAAGCGUUAAUCGGAAUUACUGGGCGUAAAGCGCGCGUAGGUGGUUUGUUAAGUUGGAUGUGAAAUCCCCGGGCUCAACCUGGGAACUGCAUUCAAAACUGACAAGCUAGAGUAUGGUAGAGGGUGGUGGAAUUUCCUGUGUAGCGGUGAAAUGCGUAGAUAUAGGAAGGAACACCAGUGGCGAAGGCGACCACCUGGACUGAUACUGACACUGAGGUGC